GACGAACGCUGGCGGCGUGCCUAAUACAUGCAAGUCGAACGAGAGCAACCGGUGCUUGCACUGGUCAAUCUAGUGGCGAACGGGUGAGUAACACGUGGGUAACCUGCCAUCAGAGGGGGAUAACAUCCGGAAACGGAUGCUAAAACCGCAUAGGUCUUCGAACCGCAUGGUUUGAAGAGGAAAAGAGGCGCAAGCUUCUGCUGAUGGAUGGACCCGCGGUGCAUUAGCUGGUUGGUGAGGUAACGGCUCACCAAGGCCGUGAUGCAUAGCCGACCUGAGAGGGUGAUCGGCCACAUUGGGACUGAGACACGGCCCAAACUCCUACGGGAGGCAGCAGUAGGGAAUCUUCCGCAAUGGACGCAAGUCUGACGGAGCAACGCCGCGUGAGUGAAGAAGGUUUUCGGAUCGUAAAACUCUGUUGUUAGAGAAGAACAAGUGCUAGAGUAACUGUUAGCGCCUUGACGGUAUCUAACCAGAAAGCCACGGCUAACUACGUG
RNAcentral lists this ribosomal RNA (497 nucleotides) under uncultured bacterium. Its description in RNAcentral is "partial 16S ribosomal RNA". It matches the Rfam family "Bacterial small subunit ribosomal RNA", at positions 28 to 507 of the family's 1533-position model. The record is from RNAcentral.